UACGUAGGGUGCGAGCGUUGUCCGGAAUUAUUGGGCGUAAAGAGCUUGUAGGCGGUUUGUCGCGUCUGCCGUGAAAAUCCGGGGCUCAACCCCGGACUUGCGGUGGGUACGGGCAGACUAGAGUGUGGUAGGGGAGACUGGAAUUCUUGGUGUAGCGGUGAAAUGCGUAGAUAUCAAGAGGAACACCUGAGGUGAAGACGGGUUGCUGGGCCAACACUGACGCUGAGGCGCGAAAGCCAGGGGAGCAAACGGG
This 253-nucleotide ribosomal RNA is filed under the name uncultured bacterium. Its description in RNAcentral is "partial 16S ribosomal RNA". It matches the Rfam family "Bacterial small subunit ribosomal RNA", at positions 524 to 776 of the family's 1533-position model. The record is from RNAcentral.